CGGAAGGAUCAUUAAUGAGAUCAUGCCCUUCGGGGUAGACCUCCCACCCUUUGUUUACAAUACCAUUGUUGCUUUGGCGGCCCCGUCGCAAGACAACCGGCUCCGGCUGGUCAGUGGCCGCCAGAGGACUCCAAAACUCAUAUUGUCAUUGUCGUCUGAGUACUAUACAAUAGUUAAAACUUUCAACAACGGAUCUCUUGGUUCUGGCAUCGAUGAAGAACGCAGCGAAAUGCGAUAAGUAAUGUGAAUUGCAGAAUUCAGUGAAUCAUCGAAUCUUUGAACGCACAUUGCGCCCCCUGGUAUUCCGGGGGGCAUGCCUGUUCGAGCGUCAUUACAACCCUCAAGCUCUGCUUGGUAUUGGGCGCCACCCCCGGGUGCGCCUUAAAAUCAGUGGCGGUGCCGUCUGGCUUCAAGCGUAGUAAUACUUCUCGCUUUGGAGUCCGGGCGAGCGUCCUGCCAAAACCCCCAUAUUUUUUCAGGUUGACCUCGGAUCAGGUAGGGAUACCCGCUGAACUUAAGCAUAUCUAAAG
This 530-nucleotide ribosomal RNA is filed under the name Allantophomopsiella pseudotsugae. RNAcentral's name for it is "eukaryotic LSU rRNA". The stretch from base 178 to 331 matches the Rfam family "5.8S ribosomal RNA". Lineage: Eukaryota; Fungi; Ascomycota; Leotiomycetes; Phacidiales; Phacidiaceae. The record is from RNAcentral.